RNAcentral lists this long non-coding RNA (3623 nucleotides) under Ananas comosus (pineapple). Its description in RNAcentral is "long non-coding RNA (ACOM_LNC002056)". Lineage: Eukaryota; Viridiplantae; Streptophyta; Magnoliopsida; Poales; Bromeliaceae. The record is from RNAcentral.
AUAACCGCCGGUGUCUCCUAUCCUCACAGAAGAGACGCUAUAACGUAGACGUUACGCUACGUACAUUUAGAAGCAUUAAAUGCGCGCUGCGCUGGGAGCGUAUAUCCACGCUAUUCACCAGACAGUGUGUUUGCUGAUCCAUGAAUCCAUUGCACUAUUAUGGUGACAUAUUGCACCCUUAUGAACUUAGUUCUACUAUUUUACCCUACGUUGCACUAUUAACCGCGUUGCGAACCGUUUCCUUUCGCCUCACCGGAGAGACACUAUAACGUACACGUUACUGUACAUACGCUUCCGCAAACAUUAAAUGCGCCCCAGCGCGGGAAACCUAAUAUUCCACGCUAUUCGCCACACCGAGUGUUUGCAGUUUGGAAUCUUCACCGACGCCUCCGCUUCCUGAAAUUAUUAAACUAUUCUGUCGACCACAUUGCACCAUUACAAUCACAGUUGUAGUCUUUUACCCUACGUUGCACUAUUAAUCGCCGUGCGCGGUCGCACUGUUACACGCUUUAGCGGAGAAUCUUGAACGCUUUUGAUCUGAGUUACACCACUUAAAGCCUUCUUUAAAUAUAAAUAUCAUUUCAUCUCACAAUGCGUUGCACUAUUAUCGGCCCGCAAAACCAAGUAAUGUUGUUCCGCCACGGCCGCCAAACGUCCGCAUACAACCGGGCAGAAGAAAGGUUUCGCGGCGAGAGUCUAUUGCUAACUGCUUAAUAAAGAAGUGGUGCCGGAAUUGCCAGAGAUUAGGGCACAACAAAAGGUCAUGCAAGAACCCUCCUGUGGCUAGAGCAAACCAGCUGCCCGCGACGACAUCCGCGGGCGCACCGCAGGAAACAUCGGAAAAUCCAUACAUCUUAUUGUAAUAGCUCAAGGCUAAUGUUAAUAGUGAACAUAUAGAUAAUUUGAUUAAGUAAAUUUUUGUAAUAGUAUAAAAUAGAGGAUAACAGUUCAACAUAUUUAAUAAAUAGUGUAACGACGAUCUCAAAAUUUUUACUGGUUAAGUGAGGUUGCACUGAAACGAGUCUACGGAUGCACUGUUAUAGCGGUCAUUGCACCAUUUCUACUGCAGUAGAAAAUUCCCGUUGCACUAGUAUCCCUGACGCACAGAGGCUAAUUCGACACGGCUUCUGAAUAGUCGGUUUAUCUUUUCGUGACAGUUUCGAUAUACCCACCGGUGUCUCUUCGAGCGCCGAAGGGACGCUAUAACGUACACGUUAGUGUUUGUUAUCAGGUUUAUAAUUUAUUAGAGGUCAGCCGAAGAGGCAGCGGUGGGUUGGUGAGGUGACGAUUCGUUUUGUUUAAAUAUCGGUUCUUCAGAUGCAUUCCCCAUUACGGAGACAGUGGUGUUCGUGAAAGAAGUGAAGACGACAACGGCAUUCCCGGUAAGAGAAAGCGCAGCGCUUCCCCUCCGCAGCAGCGCUUCCCCUCUUACGAGGACGGUCGUGCGUCGCCUUCGACUCGUUCACAAAUAUUGGCCUUGCUUUAACCUCCUCGCCUUUACGUAGAGAAGAUUCGCACUCUCUGGAGUGUUUUAUUUGCUAGGAGCCCAUUGGCCCUCCUCUCAUCUCAUACAGUUUCUUAAUUUCUUGCAGAUAUUUAUUUUUAUCGUUGGAUUCUAAUGUUUUUCUGUCUGUACUGUCUGUUUCAUGGUAGAGCGGAGCUCCAAAUUGCCCAAAGCAAAUGAAACAUUCCAGAUAGUGCGAAUCUAACGCCUCAUUGCUGGAUCGAUCGUACCCUUCCGAUCGAGCCUCCUCCUCCUCCUAGCAGUCUCCUUCGGCAGUCUCUUUUGGCCAAUACCUGUUUGCGUCGGCUAUUUGAUCAUGGAUUUGCAGAUAAACUUCGAUGAUUACAUAAUCAAUCUUAUGAAGAGAUUGUUAUAGUUGAUGUAAUAGAUGGUUGCAUUGUGAUAAAAUCGUNUGUUUGUAUUUUAUUAAGUACUAUAAAAUCGUGUAAUCGGCUUUACAGAUAAUGUAAUUCUUGUUCACAGAUUAAUGUACUCCUUACGAAUUUGUUAUACUAUUUACAAGUUACUCUUUUUUACCAAACAUUGUUGCACUGUUUACUUCAUUUUAUAAUAUUAAUUUCAGUUUUUUUGCACUUUUAUGUUCAUGUUUUCACCUAGCCUGGGAAACGUUAAUAAGGAAUUGCACUAUUAUGUUAUUAUUAUCAACUAGCUUGGGAAACGUUAAUAUGAAACUGCGGAAGCCAUAUUUAAACAAAACCAAAAUAUGUUUGAAUAGUUGCUUUUACUUUUCCCGUGGCAGCUUUGAUAUAACCGCCGGUGUCUCCUAUCCUCACAGAAGAGACGCUAUAAUGUAGACGUUACGCUACGUACUUUUAAAAGCAUUAAAUGCGCGCUGCGCUGGGAGCGUAUAUCCAUGCUAUUCGCCAAAACAUGUGUUUGCUGUUCCAUGAAUCCAUUAUACUAUUAUGGUGACAUAGUUGCACCCUUAUGAACUUUGUUCUACUAUUUUACCCUACGUUGCACUAUUAACCGCGUUGCAAACCGUUUCCUUUCGCCCCACCGGUGUCACGCCCCGGGACCGGCGGAGGCCCUCCCGGUAGCGUGCCCAGACCCGCCAUAUGUCUACACAUAUAAGGCGUCUACACUAAAAGCGGAAGUAAAAGCGAAAAAAAAGAACAGUAGAGUAAAUAGCAACUAAUGAUAUCAGAGCGAGUAAAUUUCUAUCAUCUACACCAAGGUAAAGAAAUAAGGCUAGACAACAAAAGAAACCAUAAGUAGAACACUAUCUGUCUCAAAAGUACAAAAAUGGUGGUCUCUAGUACACUGGUAAAACUCUCAACCUCUCGCAAAAAGAAAUACAUCGAGAGGUAGACCACCUAACAACUCGUCCCUCGCUGAAGAGCUAGCUGGAAGCAAUGCCCUUCCCUCGGUCCCUGGCCUCACCCGGCGUGGAAGGCUCUGAAAGAAAUCAUAAAACAGAGGGCGUGAGAACUAUAAUUUAUAGUUCCCAGUGGGCAAUUACUGACCUCAGCUCAUCGCACCACUAGGCCCCAAAAGAAAAGGAGUAAGUAUAAUAAACAACAAUAAGGAUAACAGUAACAACAGUAAGAAAGUAUAAUUGAAGUGCUAACCCAUAUGUCUCAAGUAAGCAUGAUGCCAUGGUGAUGUACAUCUACGCUAUCAUAAGAUAAUAUGUCCAAUGCAUACUAAUAUGUCUCAACAUAAUAAACAAGUAAACCUCACGAUGCAAUAUGUCAAUGCAUAAGGGUAAACACUAUCCAAACGACCGAGUAUACUACUAUGCAAUAAUGAAACCGGCAAGUAUACUAAAUGUACCAAUGCUAUAUCAUGAGCAUGUCCAAGCAAUCCAACUACUAAUCCUAUCUAGUAGUGAUUGUCCAUAUACAACACCGUGUCGAUUUCCAUUUCCAAUUUAAGGACCUACUCAAGGUAGUCCAGCUUGUGCCGCCUAAGUGUCUGUGGUAGCCCGACAUCCCUACUCUUGGAAUGUGUCUGUCCCACUCGACCCCGUAGGCUUCUCAAUACCGCACGAGCGAACGUAGUCGCGUAGGCUAACUCCGGAGUGCCGGCUUGUAGGGAGCGACCCUCACAAGCAUGUGCGAAUGAGCACAAAUGGCAAGCAAGCGUAGUCCAAGUC